This 543-nucleotide ribosomal RNA is filed under the name Acinetobacter schindleri. RNAcentral describes it as "bacterial SSU rRNA". It matches the Rfam family "Bacterial small subunit ribosomal RNA", at positions 851 to 1393 of the family's 1533-position model. The record is from RNAcentral. Lineage: Bacteria; Pseudomonadati; Pseudomonadota; Gammaproteobacteria; Moraxellales; Moraxellaceae.
GCUAACGCGAUAAGUAGACCGCCUGGGGAGUACGGUCGCAAGACUAAAACUCAAAUGAAUUGACGGGGGCCCGCACAAGCGGUGGAGCAUGUGGUUUAAUUCGAUGCAACGCGAAGAACCUUACCUGGCCUUGACAUACUAAGAACUUUCCAGAGAUGGAUUGGUGCCUUCGGGAACUUAGAUACAGGUGCUGCAUGGCUGUCGUCAGCUCGUGUCGUGAGAUGUUGGGUUAAGUCCCGCAACGAGCGCAACCCUUUUCCUUAUUUGCCAGCGGGUAAUGCCGGGAACUUUAAGGAUACUGCCAGUGACAAACUGGAGGAAGGCGGGGACGACGUCAAGUCAUCAUGGCCCUUACGGCCAGGGCUACACACGUGCUACAAUGGUCGGUACAAAGGGUUGCUACCUCGCGAGAGGAUGCUAAUCUCAAAAAGCCGAUCGUAGUCCGGAUCGCAGUCUGCAACUCGACUGCGUGAAGUCGGAAUCGCUAGUAAUCGCGGAUCAGAAUGCCGCGGUGAAUACGUUCCCGGGCCUUGUACACACCGC